Molecule: non-coding RNA, 94 nt
Filed under: uncultured Thalassotalea sp.
Lineage: Bacteria; Pseudomonadati; Pseudomonadota; Gammaproteobacteria; Alteromonadales; Colwelliaceae
Description: Cyclic di-GMP-I riboswitch
Rfam family: c-di-GMP-I riboswitch aptamer
About the family: GEMM was predicted in a large-scale screen for bacterial structured RNA regulatory elements. Genes associated with GEMM are involved in a diverse array of functions, including chemotaxis regulation, signal transduction, secretion and chitin.
Source: RNAcentral
GUCCAAGGCAAACCUAGUGAAAGCUAGGGACGCAAAGUUACCGGUCUAAAGGUUUUUUAAUAAUAAUAAUUACCUAUGACAGCGGAACUGCCGA